CAUUGAUAUGAUGAUAAGAUUUGUUGAAAAAAGUGUUGAUUAAAAAAAAAUCAGACUAUAAUUAUUUGAUCAACG
Small nucleolar RNA from Elaeis guineensis (African oil palm), 75 nucleotides. RefSeq annotates it as small nucleolar RNA Z155. NCBI's taxonomy places the organism in Eukaryota, Viridiplantae, Streptophyta, Magnoliopsida, Arecales, Arecaceae. The record is from RefSeq and is a predicted model, not a curated record.